This 433-nucleotide ribosomal RNA is filed under the name uncultured bacterium. RNAcentral describes it as "partial 16S ribosomal RNA". It matches the Rfam family "Bacterial small subunit ribosomal RNA", at positions 29 to 507 of the family's 1533-position model. The record is from RNAcentral.
AACGAACGCUGGCGGCAUGCCUAACACAUGCAAGUCGAACGAGACCUUCGGGUCUAGUGGCGCACGGGUGCGUAACGCGUGGUAACCUGCCCUUAGGUUCGGAAUAACUCCCCGAAAGGGGUGCUAAUACCGGUUAAUGUCUUCGGACCAAAGAUUUAUCGCCUUUGGAUGGGCCCGCGUUGGAUUAGCUAGUUGGUAGGGUAAAAGCCUACCAAGGCGACGAUCCAUAGCUGGUCUGAGAGGAUGAUCAGCCACACUGGGACUGAGACACGGCCCAGACUCCUACGGGAAGCAGCAGUGGGGAAUAUUGGACAAUGGGCGAAAGCGUGAUCCAGCAAUGCCGCGUGAGUGAUGAAGGCCUUAGGGUUGUAAAGCUCUUUUACCCGGGAUGAUAAUGACAGUACCGGGAGAAUAAGCUCCGGCUAACUCCGUG